Molecule: long non-coding RNA, 143 nt
Organism: Thalassophryne amazonica
Lineage: Eukaryota; Metazoa; Chordata; Actinopteri; Batrachoidiformes; Batrachoididae
Exons: 3
Source: RefSeq, a predicted model, not a curated record
AUAAAGAAACAACCAACAGAUAAUAACAGAAAAGAGAAUAGUAAAAAUAAACAGAUGAUAACUAAAUGAUAAACAAUGAAAACACAGACUGACUGAGCAAAACAAGAACGGAACUAAACCAUGGCAGAAGUAUGAAAAGUAAA